RNAcentral lists this ribosomal RNA (446 nucleotides) under uncultured bacterium. RNAcentral describes it as "bacterial SSU rRNA". It matches the Rfam family "Bacterial small subunit ribosomal RNA", at positions 329 to 792 of the family's 1533-position model. The record is from RNAcentral.
CGCCAGACUCCUACGGGAGGCAGCAGUGGGGAAUAUUGCACAAUGGGGGAAACCCUGAUGCAGCGACGCCGCGUGAGCGAUGAAGUAUUUCGGUAUGUAAAGCUCUAUCAGCAGGGAAGAAGAUGACGGUACCUGACUAAGAAGCCCCGGCUAACUACGUGCCAGCAGCCGCGGUAAUACGUAGGGGGCAAGCGUUAUCCGGAUUUACUGGGUGUAAAGGGGGCGUAGACGGCGGUGCAAGCCAGAUGUGAAAGCCCGGGGCUCAACCCCGGGACUGCAUUUGGAACUGUAUGGCUGGAGUGUCGGAGAGGCAGGCGGAAUUCCUAGUGUAGCGGUGAAAUGCGUAGAUAUUAGGAGGAACACCAGUGGCGAAGGCGGCCUGCUGGACGAUGACUGACGUUGAGGCUCGAAAGCGUGGGGAGCAAACAGGAUUAGAUACCCCUGUA